Molecule: unclassified non-coding RNA, 315 nt
Filed under: plant metagenome
Description: partial contains 5.8S ribosomal RNA, internal transcribed spacer 2, and large subunit ribosomal RNA
Rfam family: 5.8S ribosomal RNA (bases 1-105)
Source: RNAcentral
GAACUGCGAUAAGUAAUGUGAAUUGCAGAAUUCAGUGAAUCAUCGAGUCUUUGAACGCACAUUGCGCCCCCUGGCAUUCCGGGGGGCAUGCCUGUCCGAGCGUCAUUGCUGCCCUCAAGCCCGGCUUGUGUGUUGGGUCGUCGUCCCCCCCGGGGGACGGGCCCGAAAGGCAGCGGCGGCACCGUGUCUGGUCCUCGAGCGUAUGGGGCUUUGUCACCCGCUCGAUUAGGGCCGGCCGGGCGCCAGCCGGCGUCUCCAACCUUAUUUUUCUCAGGUUGACCUCGGAUCAGGUAGGGAUACCCGCUGAACUUAAGC